Thunnus maccoyii (southern bluefin tuna) is the source of this 282-nucleotide long non-coding RNA. RefSeq lists it as uncharacterized. The transcript has 3 exons. Lineage: Eukaryota; Metazoa; Chordata; Actinopteri; Scombriformes; Scombridae. The record is from RefSeq and is a predicted model, not a curated record.
AGAGUUAUGAAUGUAGUCUUGAUUUAAGCAGUUAGUCCCAAUGAGAUGGACAUAAAUCUGUUUUUCUAGAGAGUCCUGAAAAAGACACAAGAGAGCUGCUGAACAGACGGAAACAUCUGGGAACGACUUGAUCUGUUGUCUCUUAUCAACUGGAGGUUCUUUACAACAUGGAAAGAAUUAAUCAGGAGAGACCAGACUCCCCGGAGCCCAGCUGUGUGUCCAUGAGGAGUGACGAGUCAAGGCAAGGUGUAUUGGAUUAUAAAGAAGGUCACAUUUCCUCAG